RNAcentral lists this ribosomal RNA (345 nucleotides) under Triticum aestivum (bread wheat). RNAcentral describes it as "partial small subunit ribosomal RNA". Lineage: Eukaryota; Viridiplantae; Streptophyta; Magnoliopsida; Poales; Poaceae. The record is from RNAcentral.
AUGAAGUUAAUAUGUUGCAACUCAUUCUUUGGAGCACGUGCACUAGAGCCAUGGGACUAUUUUGUAUACCUUGAAAAGUUGGAAUCAUCUGGAAUAUUGGAGGAAAUCAAAAGUAUCCUGGUAACAUUUACCGACUAUAAAUCUGUAUUGGCUCAUGAUACUGAAAAUAGAGUGUUGUGUACACUAUUCCAGAGAGAAGUAAAGGACGGGCGAGAGAGCCUCAUGGUGAAAGUCGAGAAAGAGCAUUACAUCCAUGAAAAAGAUUUGUGGAUUGAAAAUGAAGAAUUUUUCAGUUAUUCAAUCAAAAAGCACUCGACAAAUCUACCGUCAGUUGCUAUUGUCUAA